This is a non-coding RNA of Pelobates cultripes (western spadefoot toad), 437 nucleotides long. The record is from the annotation of a GenBank genome assembly. Lineage: Eukaryota; Metazoa; Chordata; Amphibia; Anura; Pelobatidae.
CAUUUGGAGGAGCUGGGUGGAUUUUUUUUACCUGGUGUCCAGUGGGUCUUCUUGCAUAGAGGAAGGCAGGCAUGCAAGCACUUGGGCGGCUAACUAAACAUCCAGGCAGGUGGGCGGCACUGGCGAGGGAGCACUGAUUUGUGAGCUGUCUCUACUCAGCUUCCUUGCGCGCACGUGCGCUGCUGAGGUUUUUGCCUGGGCGUUUGGGGAGGAGGGGGGGGAUGCUUUUUUGCCACCCCCUGUUAAGUGCAGCCCAAUUUGUGACAUAACAGGGAAAAAACGUAAAGCAAGGACCCGUGCUGUACCGUACACCGUGGGAACCGAUCCUGGCGUGACAGGUAGGUCUGACUUACGGUUUAGGAGUCCCUGGGACGCGAUUUACGACGAUGACCGGGGUCAGAAGAAGCUGGACGGACGGAAAAGGCCUGAACAGGAUU